RNAcentral lists this ribosomal RNA (501 nucleotides) under uncultured bacterium. RNAcentral describes it as "partial 16S ribosomal RNA". It matches the Rfam family "Bacterial small subunit ribosomal RNA", at positions 30 to 523 of the family's 1533-position model. The record is from RNAcentral.
AUUGAACGCUGGCGGCAGGCUUAACACAUGCAAGUCGAGCGGAGCGAGGGUGCUUGCACCUUAGCUUAGCGGCGGACGGGUGAGUAAUGCUUAGGAAUCUGCCUAUUAGUGGGGGACAACAUUCCGAAAGGAAUGCUAAUACCGCAUACGCCCUACGGGGGAAAGCAGGGGAUCUUCGGACCUUGCGCUCAUAGAUGAGCCUAGGUCGGAGUAGCUAGUUGGUGGGGUAAAGGCCUACCAAGGCGACGAUCUGUAGCGGGUCUGAGAGGAUGAUCCGCCACACUGGGACUGAGACACGGCCCAGACUCCUACGGGAGGCAGCAGUGGGGAAUAUUGGACAAUGGGCGGAAGCCUGAUCCAGCCAUGCCGCGUGUGUGAAGAAGGCCUUUUGGUUGUAAAGCACUUUAAGCGAGGAGGAGGUUACUUAGAUUAAUACUCUGGGAUAGUGGACGUUACUCGCAGAAUAAGCACCGGCUAACUCUGUGCCAGCAGCCGCAGUAA